RNAcentral lists this ribosomal RNA (253 nucleotides) under uncultured bacterium. Its description in RNAcentral is "partial 16S ribosomal RNA". It matches the Rfam family "Bacterial small subunit ribosomal RNA", at positions 524 to 776 of the family's 1533-position model. The record is from RNAcentral.
UACGGAGGGGCAAGCGUUGUUCGGAAUUACUGGGCGUAAAGGGCGCGCAGGCGGCUGCUCAAGUCAGGCGUGAAAGGCCUGGGCUCAACCCGGGAAUUGCGCUUGAGACUGGGCUGGCUUGAGUGCGGGAGAGGAUGGUGGAAUUCCCAGUGUAGAGGUGAAAUUCGUAGAUAUCAAGCGGAACACCGGUGGCGAAGGCGGCCUUCUGGACAGUGACUGACGCUGAGACGCGAAAGCGUGGGGAGCAAACAGG